ACGGGAGGCAGCAGUGGGGAAUAUUGGUCAAUGGGCGUAAGCCUGAACCAGCCAAGUAGCGUGAGGGAUGACUGCCCUACGGGCUGUAAACCUCUUUUGUUUGGGAAUAAAUGAGACUACGUGUAGUCUUUUGCAUGUACCUUUCGAAUAAGCAUCGGCUAAUUCCGUGCCGGCAGCCGCGGUAAUACGGAAGAUGCGAGCGUUAUCCGGAUUUAUUGGGUUUAAAGGGAGCGUAGGCGGCCUUUUAAGUCUGCGGUCAAAUGUCAGGGCCCACCUUGGCAUGCCGUGGAUACUGAUGGGCUUGAAUACACACAAGGAAGGUGGAAUUCGUCGUGCAGCGGUGAAAUGCUUAGAUAUGACGAAGAACUCCGAUUGCGGAGGCAGCCUUCUGGAGUGCGAUUGACGCUGAGGCUCGAAAGCGCGGGUAUCAAACAGGAUUAGAUACCCUGGUA
Molecule: ribosomal RNA, 452 nt
Filed under: uncultured Paraprevotella sp.
Lineage: Bacteria; Pseudomonadati; Bacteroidota; Bacteroidia; Bacteroidales; Prevotellaceae
Description: partial 16S ribosomal RNA
Rfam family: Bacterial small subunit ribosomal RNA
Source: RNAcentral